This 182-nucleotide ribosomal RNA is filed under the name Brevitrygon walga (dwarf whipray). RNAcentral's name for it is "partial 12S rRNA". Lineage: Eukaryota; Metazoa; Chordata; Chondrichthyes; Myliobatiformes; Dasyatidae. The record is from RNAcentral.
CACCGCGGUUAUACGAGUGACACAAACUAAUAUUCCACGGCGUUAAGGGUGAUUAAAAUAAAUCUUUUUAAAAAUAAAGUUAAGACAACAUCAAACUGUCAUACGUUCCCAUGUUUAAAAACAUCACCUACGAAAGUAACUUUAUACAAAAAAGAGUUCUUGAUUUCACGAUAGUUAAGACC